RNAcentral lists this long non-coding RNA (797 nucleotides) under Equus asinus (donkey). RNAcentral's name for it is "lncRNA (ENSEASG00005035529.1)". Lineage: Eukaryota; Metazoa; Chordata; Mammalia; Perissodactyla; Equidae. The record is from RNAcentral.
CUGGUGUUGUCUUUAUUAGCCACUCUCUCUUUCCUUUCUUCCAAGUCAUACCUCACAGACCACCCCUCCAAGAAGUUUCCCCGCCCUCUCUCACCACUCCCCUUAUCACAGCACCAACACAUGGCUCUUUGUUAGUAUAGUCAGUAGUGUUUGGUGCGCAGCAGACUCUGGGACCCAAUAGCUUCAUUUCAAAGUCUAGAAAGAGUCACUCUUCUCUAAUUGUGAAAAGUCCUUUAGUCUCUUUCUGCCUCACUUCCUGCAUCUGUCAAAUGAGGAUGGUGGUCACGGGGGUAACAAUGCCUGGCUCAGAGGAGUGCUGUGAGGACUCCGGAAUUCACCCAGGUCUCAUCACCUCCCUGGCUCUGCCCUUCUCCCAUCUCAGCGGCAGUGUUUGCUGAGUCUGCAGCUGACCGGUCUCUGUAGGCAGAGACUACUGUGUACCCCUCUGCCUGGACUUGCCUGGUCCAGCCUCUGAGCCAGGCUCUUCUGCUCCUGUGACCCAACUCUGACAAAUUCCAGAGAAUGAACAUUUCAUAUCUGUCUACCCGAAGAGCGAGAAAACAGGGGAAGUAGAAGGACAAGGAACAUUCAGUGUGAGACCUCCACCAGAACCCAGACUGCAGAGGCUGCUGCUACAGUCCUCAGAGCUUGUUCGCAUUCCUGGGAACCCCAGUGCAUCAUCCACUCUCCCCAAGCACAGAUAGGGGAUUGUCAACAGGCCGGCUGAGCUGAAAAGCCUCAUGCCCACUGGUGUGAGUGCCAGAUGGGCAGUGCUGUGGAGAGACUGACCAGCCCAG